UGUCAUUUAAGUUACAUUAUUAAUACUCCAUUGUUUGUUUUAGAAGAUGUUUUUCAAAGAUGUAACAAAACUUAGGUCAAAAAUACAAAACUGUAAUACAAAUGCAAUACUCAUAGUUUUACAAGUAGCCUACCAUCCAUGAAAAAACAUGCAAUACAGCGUGAAAGUGUUUUCAGUAAAAAGUACACUGUGGCUUUCGCAACAGAUGUUCAGAAUGACUCUGUGUACCAGCUCAGUUUUCUGUGAAAGAGGUUUGCCAAUUUUACUCAUACUAUUGGAUUAAUUUAAAUAAGUUUAAUUUCCCAUAUUUCCUGACGUAAUGUCUACUUACUGCAGCUGGCAAGUCUGCAUGUUUCAGGAAGUAUGUGGGAGGUACAUGUAUGUGAACGCUUUACACUGGGUUUCAACUUGGCUGUAGAUAAGUUGAUAUUCAUAACCUGAUCUCUCUGGCUUAGUGUCUGUUUGUUUAUAGUUGCAUAACUUAUUUAACCAGUGUAGCUACACUUUUCUGUUUUUACUGAACUGAACAAUUAUUCCUUCAGAUAAAAAAGAAAGACAAAGACAAAGAUAAUUGCCAUUGGCUUCUGCCAAAUACUGAAUUGUAAAAAAAAAAAAAUAAUCCAGGACAUUCUAAUGUAUCUUGUAAUUGUACAAUGAUCCUGAUCUUUGAGCUUGCACAAUGAGCCUUGUUUUUUGUGUUCAAGAUGUUCCAGGUCCAUACAACCAGAAAAGUACAUUUAUUUGUAUCCAUGCUGGUGGUUUGUUCCUCAGUGUCUGAUGGACAAAUUACAACUGGACCCCCUGGACCCCCUGGACCCCCUGGACCUCGUGGACCCCCUGGAACCAGUGGAUUCCCUGGAGCCAGAGGAUCUGUUGGAGCCAGUGGAGCCAGUGGACCCCAAGGAACCCGUGGAGAGAGUGGACCCCCUGGAAAAGAUGGACCCCGUGGAGCCAGUGGACCCCCUGGCACUAGUGGAUCACCUGGCCAGGAGGGACCUACUGGUCCCCCAGGAAUCUGCACCUAUUCUGAAGGAUGUGAGACAAGCACUUUUGAUCAAAAUGGACUGACAUUGAUUGCUAUAGUAGGAUGUGUUCUUGCUGUCCUGGAUGCUGCUGCCUUGAUUGCUGUUGUUAUUUUCCAGAUCAAGAAGAGAAACACAGCAGUGAGAGACUCCGGAGUGCAUUCCCAGGUGUUGCAACAUAGUGUCUGUCUUCCUAUUUUGAACUAUUCUUUGUUGAACUAGUCAGUGGUCAAUGCAGUGAACUUUAACAGAUAUAAUAACAAACUGUCAUACACUAUUCUCUGCCAUGUAAUCUGUUUCAUGUUGAAGUUCCAUGCAGCUUUAUUUCUUAUUUUUGGCCUGAUAUGACAUCUAUCUCUCUAAAUGUAUAAACUAGACAUACACAACAGACCGAUGUUUAGGUAAAUUAAUAUAGAAGAUUGUUGCCCUCUGUUCAGACUUCAUCUUCUAUCAGGAACAUGCUAAUGAAACCACAUGUCUUUUAUUUAUAUUUCCCUAGAGGCCUGAUAUGGAUACAUACACAGCUCUGAAUCUCAGAACAAGAUCACCUGAUUACGAGACUCUUGGUCAUUCCAGGAACCCACCAAGAGCACGUGGCCGAAGCCAUCGAUGAAUACUGAAGCCUCUGCAAACUCCAGCUGAUGUUGAAUUUGCAUAACUCCAUACACCUUCAGAUAGCAAUCAACAGGGGAC
Clupea harengus (Atlantic herring) is the source of this 1715-nucleotide long non-coding RNA. The record is from Ensembl. NCBI's taxonomy places the organism in Eukaryota, Metazoa, Chordata, Actinopteri, Clupeiformes, Clupeidae.